This 525-nucleotide long non-coding RNA is filed under the name Pan troglodytes (chimpanzee). RNAcentral's name for it is "lincRNA". The record is from RNAcentral. Lineage: Eukaryota; Metazoa; Chordata; Mammalia; Primates; Hominidae.
UGGGAGAGAAAAGCAUACGACAUAAACAGGGAGGUCAAGCUCCACCACGCAGAUGAGGUGCAGGCCACCAGGCUUCCUCUGCCACAUCUCUUUCUGAAAAGGACUUCACAUUCACCCUUGCAAUCCAUGUGGGGACACUGUUGGAUAGGAGGCGUGGUCCCAGUGUGGUCUCCCUGUCUGGGCCUCUGCCUAUGCCAAAUGUUUGCCUUACGCUGCACACUCAAGAGGUUCCAUGUAUACAGAUGGGAAUUCCAGAGCUACAGAAAAGGCAGCAAGCACCAUGAUUCAAGCUAAUCGGUGUGGAUUCACACCUUCCUCUCUCUCUGUCAGUGGCAGAACUACCAGCUAGAGUAAGAAGUGGUUGAUCCAGGACCUAAACAUUCUGGAAACUCUUGCCCACUUCUGGGAGAAAUGACCCAAUCCGUAGUACUAAGCACACCUUAACUUUCGUAGGACGCAGGCAAGUUGUCAUACCGUGUGCCUAAAUAUAGAAAAAUGAUCGACUGGACUAAUAAAGUGUUAAAU